GUUAAAUGGCUGAAAAGCUAACGUAUUAGUUCCGCUGACAAUCAAUUUUUCAAUUUAAAUAACCCCCUCCCUAUAUUCUCAACGUUUUCAAACUUUCGUGUUAACGACCGAGAUGAGCUUAUCCAGUGAAAAUGGUAAAGUUGUUCAUCCUCUAGGAUUGGAACCUCUUGGUGCUGCACUAUUAAAAGGAUCUUCUAACAAAGGAAGAGAAAGGGGAUUAGGGCUCCUUAAUAUCUUCAGUGAUGAACGGAUAAUAUUUAUUUUAAAACUACUCAAUCCUAAGAAGUUAGGUCA
Long non-coding RNA from Zophobas morio, 294 nucleotides. RefSeq lists it as uncharacterized. Lineage: Eukaryota; Metazoa; Arthropoda; Insecta; Coleoptera; Tenebrionidae. The record is from RefSeq and is a predicted model, not a curated record. The transcript is spliced from 3 exons.